This 315-nucleotide ribosomal RNA is filed under the name uncultured eukaryote. RNAcentral's name for it is "partial 18S ribosomal RNA". It matches the Rfam family "Eukaryotic small subunit ribosomal RNA", at positions 1470 to 1796 of the family's 1831-position model. The record is from RNAcentral.
CCCUUAGAUGUCCUGGGCCGCACGCGUGCUACACUGACACUUGCAACGAGUACUUUGCUUUACCGAAAGGUAAUGCUAAUCAUCAAUAAGUGUCGUGAUGGGGAUAGAUCUUUGGAAUUAUGGAUCUUGAACGAGGAAUGCCUAGUAAGCGUAGGUCAUUAGCCUACGCUGAUUAAGUCCCUGCCCUUUGUACACACCGCCCGUCGCUCCUACCGAUUUCGAGUGGUCCGGUGAAACUUUUGGACCGUGCGACUUUAUUGUUGUCACGGAAAGUCAGUUAAACCAUACUACUUAGAGGAAGGUGAANUCGUANCA